This 541-nucleotide ribosomal RNA is filed under the name Gordonia sp. XJ9. RNAcentral's name for it is "bacterial SSU rRNA". It matches the Rfam family "Bacterial small subunit ribosomal RNA", at positions 337 to 888 of the family's 1533-position model. The record is from RNAcentral. Lineage: Bacteria; Bacillati; Actinomycetota; Actinomycetes; Mycobacteriales; Gordoniaceae.
UCCUACGGGGGAGCAGCAGUGGGGAAUAUUGCACAAUGGGCGCAAGCCUGAUGCAGCGACGCCGCGUGAGGGAUGACGGCCUUCGGGUUGUAAACCUCUUUCGCCAGGGACGAAGCGUAAGUGACGGUACCUGGAGAAGAAGCACCGGCCAACUACGUGCCAGCAGCCGCGGUAAUACGUAGGGUGCGAGCGUUGUCCGGAAUUACUGGGCGUAAAGAGCUCGUAGGCGGUUUGUCGCGUCGUCUGUGAAAUUCUGCAACUCAAUUGCAGGCGUGCAGGCGAUACGGGCAGACUUGAGUACUACAGGGGAGACUGGAAUUCCUGGUGUAGCGGUGAAAUGCGCAGAUAUCAGGAGGAACACCGGUGGCGAAGGCGGGUCUCUGGGUAGUAACUGACGCUGAGGAGCGAAAGCGUGGGGAGCGAACAGGAUUAGAUACCCUGGUAGUCCACGCCGUAAACGGUGGGUACUAGGUGUGGGGCUCAUUUCACGAGUUCCGUGCCGUAGCUAACGCAUAAGUACCCCGCCUGGGAGAGCCCCACG